CCCGCACCCCCCGCCUGCCCCGCAUCCCCUGCCUGUGCCCCGGGCUGACUCCCUGGGCCCCUGGCCCCUGUCCGAGCCGGUGGGCCCCCCACUGGCUGCGCUCUCACCCAGGAAACUUGGCAAACACACGGUCCCCUCUUAGGGAUUCGGCCUCAGUGGCAGUUCCCAGCCCCUGGGAAGUCGGCAGAGCGGCGGAGUUGGGGAGCCCCGCGCAGGCACCCCUUCCCGGGCACACCCCGCUGCCCCGCCAACCCGAGUCCUCCCGGGGCCUGACGUGUCCGUGGCCCCACGGAGUGUCCACCUGGGGAGGCCGAGCUCUGUCUCCCCUCGAGGUGGUUCACCCGAUACCAUCAACAUACCAACAACGAGUUGGUGAUCCAACUCCUUGGGAGCUUUUGUGCUCUCCUGCUCUUGCUAAAACAAAAGCAAACUCUUUUUGGCUCAUUUCGGUUUGUUUUUAAAGAAGGAAGCCUGAAAACAAGUAAGACACUAGGAAAAUUAUAAAACUUCAAAAAAAAAUUUUCUACAAAAGCUGGUAAUACCGUUCCUUGGUUAUUAAGUGUGAGUGAUGCCAAACCCACACUCGCUUGACUUUUUUUUUGGUAAAGAUUUAUUCCAGUGAAAUCUCUGCUUCUCAUUUUAUACCAUGAUGUGGAAGGCAUUAAGUUUUUUGAGCAAGAUUCACAUUCUUAGUUUCUUUCCCUGUCUCCCUCAGUAUUGUGUCUCCUCUCUCUGUCUCCACUCCCACCCCCAACACUUUUCUGAUAGAUUCUGCUAGGAUUGAGAAACAAAAGCUGAUCAUUGUGGAAAAGAUUCUACAAGUUUUCAUAAUCAUGUCAGCAAGAUUGCAUAAUCUUCCUUUCUUCCUCCACUGUCCCAUUUUCAGCAUCCCUGGCUUCUAAAUCCUGCUAAGGUAAAGUCACUGCUGGGAUAUUGAGAAAAAAAACAAUGCCUGAUGCUCACUCCUGCUUCUCGAGGGUCAGCAUGCCUCGAUUCCUCUGACACACCGUCCUAUGGCAACCCUCUGAAAUGGAUGUGUUUGGACAGAUCAGCUUCUGAAGGUGAAGACAACCACUCCUUGUUCCCUCAGACCCUCGUUUCAGAGAAUCGGCUGCACAUUUUCUGUGCUGGAUCCAUGAUUAAAUUCCCUCUGUACCGCGAUCCUGGAGACCCGGGAUCGAGUCUCACGUCGGGCUCCCGGUGCAUGGAGCCUGCUUCUCCCUCUGCCUAUGUCUCUGCCUCUCUCUCUCUCUCUCUGUGUGACUAUCAUAAAUAA
This 1276-nucleotide long non-coding RNA is filed under the name Canis lupus familiaris (dog). RNAcentral's name for it is "lncRNA (ENSCAFG00030012448.1)". Lineage: Eukaryota; Metazoa; Chordata; Mammalia; Carnivora; Canidae. The record is from RNAcentral.